RNAcentral lists this ribosomal RNA (401 nucleotides) under uncultured bacterium. RNAcentral describes it as "bacterial SSU rRNA". It matches the Rfam family "Bacterial small subunit ribosomal RNA", at positions 356 to 773 of the family's 1533-position model. The record is from RNAcentral.
GGGGAAUAUUGCGCAAUGGGCGGAAGCCUGACGCAGCGACGCCGCGUGAGGGAUGAAGGCCUUCGGGUUGUAAACCUCUUUCAGCACCGACGAAUUCGGACGGUGGGUGCAGAAGAAGCGCCGGCUAACUACGUGCCAGCAGCCGCGGUAAUACGUAGGGCGCGAGCGUUGUCCGGAAUUAUUGGGCGUAAAGAGCUCGUAGGCGGCUUGUCGCGUCUGCCGUGAAAGCCCACGGCUUAACCGUGGGUCUGCGGUGGAUACGGGCAGGCUAGAGGCAGGUAGGGGAGCAUGGAAUUCCCGGUGUAGCGGUGAAAUGCGCAGAUAUCGGGAGGAACACCGGUGGCGAAGGCGGUGCUCUGGGCCUGUCCUGACGCUGAGGAGCGAAAGCGUGGGGAGCGAAC